Molecule: long non-coding RNA, 1085 nt
Organism: Alligator mississippiensis (American alligator)
Lineage: Eukaryota; Metazoa; Chordata; Crocodylia; Alligatoridae
Exons: 3
Source: RefSeq, a predicted model, not a curated record
AGGGAGGUAGGGAGCUUGCUCAGUAUUGAUGAUUGGCUCUCAUCAUUUCCAUUGUUCCUCACCUGCAAGGAGACUGGAGAUUCAAGAAUUCAUAACUAAUUGCAAAACAGCAAGGAACCGGUCUAAAUUGCUAGACUGGCUUGUCUGUAAUGGUACAUCUUGUUCUUGCUCUCUCUUUUUACGACCACAUUAUUUCAGAUUUCCAGGUGACCAGGAAGCCUGUGACCAGGGACUGCCAACAGGGGAGCAGUUUUCAGGCAGUUGCUGUAGGCAAGAGGAGGGAGGAAGAAGGAGGAGAGAAGCCAGGCCAGGCACCAGAUCCUUCCCAGCAAUGGACCAGACAUCACGGGAAAGUCCCAAGACAGCUGAAUGGAGGAUGGUCACCUCUAGAGCUAGACAGUGUGCGGCUGUGACUGCUUCCCCAAUGCAACUGGGGAACAGAUACAAAGCCCUGGCAGGACUGGAGGAUGAUGCAGCAGAGGAAGCCACAGGAGAAGACACAUCCACAACAAACACCAGGCAGGCUGAGUGACAAUUGAGCACUUGAGAGGAAAAGAUGCCAGGUCAUCAUGGUGGGCAACUCCCUUCUGAAAGGCAUGGAGGGGCCUAUCUCUUGAUCGGAUCCCACAGCAUGGAAGGUUUGCUGCCUACCCAGAAUCCGGAUCCGGGACAUCACUGCGAGGAUUCCCAAACUCAUCCAGCCCUCUGAUUACUAUCCCAUGGUCCUCAUCCAUGUGGGCACAAAUGAUGUGGCCAGGAGUAGAUUACGUCAUCAGUGACUACAGAGUUCUGGGGACCAGGCUUAAGAAGUCAGGGGUACAGGUGGUCUUCUCAUCCAUCCUUCCGGUCAGCAGUCACCAUCAGCAUCAAGACACCUGCAUCAGGGAAAUCAACCUGCAGCUCCGGAGUUGGUGCCAUCGUGUGGCUUUUGGCUUCUACAACCACAAUCCACACUUGCAUGAGAGAGGCAUCCUGGGAAGAGAUGGUCUUCAUCUCUCUUCUAAAGUUAGAGUCUGUUCCCUUCAGGUUGCCUGAUCUCCAAUGAAGGGCUUUAAACUAGGUUUGUUGUUGGGGGGGGGGGGGGG